RNA transcript from Cavia porcellus (domestic guinea pig), 9047 nucleotides. It is a transcript of the gene named methyltransferase 2A, tRNA N3-cytidine, with no coding region annotated. NCBI's taxonomy places the organism in Eukaryota, Metazoa, Chordata, Mammalia, Rodentia, Caviidae. The transcript has 10 exons. The record is from RefSeq and is a predicted model, not a curated record.
GUGACGGACCAGAAGGCACUUCCGGCUCCGGUGGCAUGGCUGAUCCGUGCCUGGAGGAUGAUCCUGCAGUGCAGGGCAGGAAGAGGGAACCGUUCGGAACCCGCUUCCUGAGCGAUCCGUCGCGUGUCUUCUACCACAAUGCCUGGGACAAUGUGGAGUGGACGGAAGAGCAGGCUGCGGCGGCGGAGAGAAAAGUGCAGGAGAACAGUGCCCAGCGCGUGUGCCAAGAGAAACAAGUUGAUUAUGAGGUUAAUGCCCAUAAAUAUUGGAAUGACUUCUACAGAAUUCAUGAAAAUGGAUUUUUCAAGGAUAGACACUGGCUUUUCACGGAAUUCCCUGAGCUGGCACCUACCACAAACCAAAAUCACUUGAAGGAUUUGAUCUUGGAGAACAAGAAAGAUGAAAUUUCUGACUACCAAAACAGUAAAGAUGGACCUGGUUUAACAAUAGAACAACCCAAAUGUUCUUCAACUGGCCUGGGACAUAAAACACAGACACCUCCUGAGGAAGAGACUGUCCCUCAGAAAUUGAGUCACCUGCAAAUUUGUGCUGAUAAACUACCUGGAUCCUCAGCCACCUACCGAAUACUUGAGGUUGGUUGUGGUGCAGGAAACACGGUCUUUCCAAUCUUACAAACUAACAAUGACCCAGGCCUCUUUGUUUAUUGUUGUGACUUUUCUUCUACAGCUGUAGAACUGGUCCAGACAAACUCAGAAUAUGAUCCAUCUCGCUGUUUUGCUUUUGUUCAUGAUCUUUGUGAUGAAGAUCAAAGCUACCCAGUGCCUGAGAACAGUAUUGAUGUCAUCGUUCUUAUAUUUGUUCUUUCAGCAAUUGUUCCAGAGAAGAUGCAAAAAGCUAUAAACAGGCUGAGCAGGCUUCUGAAGUCUGGAGGGAUGAUGCUUCUACGAGAUUAUGGUCGUUACGACAUGGCUCAGCUUCGGUUUAAAAAAGGCCAGUGUCUCUCUGGAAAUUUCUAUGUGAGAGGUGAUGGCACCAGAGUUUACUUCUUCACUCAAGGGUUUCUGUAAAUCAGUAAAUUACCCAGACUGGACUCAAGUUUGCAAUCCUGCCAGUCUUCCAGAUGCUGGGUUACAGUUGUUUCCCACCACAUCCCGUUUCCCAAGGAAUUUAGAGGUAGCUCAAACAGGUUGAGACCACCCACACUUCACUGGAGCCCAUGUAAGCAUCUGACAGUGAACCUUUGACAUCAGAAGGCACAAAUUCCACCCUCCAGAGCAAGCUGACACUGCCGUACUGCAUUAGGAUCGUGGUUCUAGAAGAUCAGGAAUGUUACUAUGUGCAGACAGACUACAGAUUUGUUCUUUUCCUCUCUUCUAGUCAUCUUUGUCCACAGCUCAGCUUUGUCACAGCUGCUUUGUUAUCCCAUAAAUGCCCCUAACACCUAUGGGGAGGCAGAUUUAAGACCUGAGGCUUCAUUCUUUUUUUUUUUUUUUUUGGUCUUUCUUCCUUUUUAUCGGUACCGGGGAUUGAACUCAUGACUGCCUGCUUGCAAGGCAGGCGCUUAUGCCACUGAGCUAAAUCCCCAGCCCGAGGCUUCAUUCUUCUUAAUAUUUGACCACCUCAUGCAUACACUAAUUUUCUUGCAAAAUUCAUGGUUUCACUGAUUGGUGUAUUGUGCAAUGGCCAAGUGGGUGAAAUAACAGAAUGCCUGAAACUUGCCAGUGGCUUGACAAUAACAAAUUAAACAUGUGCAUACUUGUGUGUGUAUGUGCACACACAGUAAGAGUGGGAAGGAGAGGGAGGGAGGGGGCAGGAAGACUCGGAGAGAAACAGCAAGAAUACAUACUGAUUGAAAAAAUCUAGGUGGAGGGUAUUUUAGAGUUCUUUUUUUUUCUCAACUUUUCUGUAGGUUUAAUUUUUUUCUAAAAGAAAAAUGUUGGGGGGAGAAGGAAGCAUGAUUAGCGGGAUCAAGGGAGGGUUUUUAUACAAUUCGUAGAUGUUUUUGAAAUUAGAGCACGUGUAUCUACAGGGAACCUUCCUGUGCAAGAGGAGGAGGCGAUACAAACGGGAGCAUCUAGAGUCCAGAGGAGGCAGAUGGUACCCCCUGAGGUGGAGGGGAACAGACAGGCUUCUGCAGGGUAUCUGGGUGCUCCUAGGCCCUUGUUUGAUGAUUUCCAAUUUCUCCGCCAAGUAAAAUCUGAGACUGUCCACAGAGACCAAGAGGGGGUGACAGGCAGGGGCACAGGGCCAGGAAAAAGACUGGUAGAAAAAAGAAAAAAGUGAUGGAAUUUGUUGUUUGGAGUUAAACCCUAAUUGAAGAUUAAUUUAUCUGCUUAGAGAAUGAGCCAACAGAGGACAGUUUAAAUCCUUACAAUGCUAGGUCUCAAUUUCUCUAUAACAUAAGAAGCUUGAAAUGGAAGAUCUCAAAAGAAGGGCCAGGGAUUUAGCUCAGUGGCACAAGUGCCUGCCUUGCAAGCAGGCAGUCGUGAGUUCCACCCUCAGUACCAAUAAAAAGGAAAAAGACUAAAAACAAAAGAUCCUGCAAGUUCCUACACAGUGAUGUGUACCCCAAAGAGCAUGUGUUUAGACUGUGUAAGAAUUUAGGGCUGAAGUGUAACUUAGUGUACAUGAGGACCCUGGGUUUGAUCCCCCUACCAAAUAACCAAAAACCAAUAAUGAAAAACAUCCUAGUAAAAAUUAGGAAUAAACAGAAAGACACUUGAAACGUAGGCUGCUUAAGGAUUCCAAACCAGGGGAGAGAGGGUUCUCUAUGUACUUCAGAAGUCCGGGGCUCUGAGAAAUUUCAAUUAGGUGCUCUUAGAGUGAGCUUAUUAUGUGAUCUCUUUGAGAAUAAAUUCUGCUUUCCUGGCUCUCACUGAAGUUCACAUCACAUGAUGUGAAAUGAAACAGUGCAUUAAUGUGAUUAACACUGACUAAAGCUCCAUGGGUGAGCAAAUAUAGUGUGAAGUGGGUUCGGGAAUUUUAAAAUACCUAUUAUUAUUUUUAUUUUUAUCAGUACUCACAACUGCCUGCUUCCAAGGCAGGCACUUACAUCGCUGAGCUAAAUCUCCAGCCCAGAUCUCUGUAUCUUUGAGGGCAAAGGUUGUGCAUGAGUCAUCCACCUUGGACUCCCUGGUGACUGAUGAAGAUAGGUAAGGACAGGGGUGAAGGAGAGUUUGCUGCUAACCUCCUCAGAGGUGGCUCCACCACACACUGCUGUGCUGAGAGCCUGACCCUGCUUUACACAGAUGGUCUCACUUAGAUUUGAUGAUGCCCCUGGAAGCUGGUAUUAUUAGCCCCAGGAGGAAACUGAGGGGAAAAGGGGUUAAAUAACUUGCCAAAGGUCUUCACCCAGCCAAGUGAAGAGUGAGGCUCCGAUGUGUUUAAACCCAAGCCUGUGCUCUUGACCACCUGGCUGUCCAGUCUUUCAACACAGCACAAGAUGAACCUUUGGAAAUCUUGCAUUCACCUGACUGGAAAGCAGUUAGCAGCGUGCUGAGCACAGGUGCUAGGGCAUUCAGUGGAUAUCAGCUACUGUGACUGCCUGAAGGAUUGACAGUUUGAAUGAAUGAGUAGAGACAUGAUUUCCUGUCUUGUGGGGUUGUUUUCUUUGAAUAGAAGAUUUCCCCAUAGCCUUUGAAUGCUUGAUCUAAUUGUGGCAAAAAGGCAUCUGAGAAUUGUGUGGCCUGUCCUUUAUUAACUGUUAAGGCCAGUCUGACAGGCUGUUUAUGUGUAAGGUCAGAGAUCAGUCUUUAGCUGCUCUCUUCUCAUUCAUCUAGCAAAGCACAGAACAUAAAGUUUAUUGAUGCAAAACUGAUUGGCAGGCAGGGGUAAGAAAGUGGUGAGGACAGGGAAUAUCAGAGUUCUAAGUCACUGUAAGUUCUAAGUCAGUCUGCUCCUUCUGUGCUGACUUUCUUGUUCUUCUGGUUGCUGGGUCACAUACAACUUCUGACCUAGAAUUAAGCAGCUGCGAGGGUGCUCCCAGGGGUGCUCUCAUGGAGUCCACUGAUACAGAGAAGGAAAGGAGUUGUCUGUUUGGAAAGAGUGAUACGUGGAAGGUUAGGUAUGGAUGGUUUUAAAACUUCACAAAUUAUGGGCUGGGGGUUUAGCUCAGUGGCAUAAGUGCCUGCCUGACAAGCACAAGGUCGCAAGUUCGAUCCCCGGUGCCAAAAAUUUAAUUAAUUAAAUUAAAAAGUAAAACUUCACAAAUUAAAGGUAUUCCUGCGUAAGACUCCUUUAGACAGACCCAGUGCCUCGAGAAAGGUAAAUCUUACACCUGCACUUUGCAGCCAGCCCAACACCACGCAGCUAUGUGGCUCUUCUGUGACCAUGAGCUGAGAAAGUGGGGAAAGGCUACACAAGUGGCUCUACUUGCAGUGUUCUUGGGAUAAACACCAGGAGGUGGGCUGGAGGUUCCAGGAUAGAGAGGUGGACUGAGGAAUUGUAGCUCAUGCCAUAAUGAUGGAACAAGGACUCAAACAUCUUUUUUUUAUUUUUUUGAGACAGAGUCUGUAUCGCUAUGCAGUUCAGGCUGGCCUUGAGUUCACUUUGUAGCCUAGGCUGGUCUUUUUUUUUUUUUUUUUGGCUUUUUCCUUUUUUACCGGUACCAGGGAUUGAACUCAUGACUGCCUGCUUGCAAGGCAGGCGCUUAUGCCGCUGAGCUAAAUCCCCAGGCCCUAUGUAGCCUAGGCUGGUCUUGAACUUGCAGUGAUCCUGAUCCUCCUUCCUCAGCCUCUCGAGGGCUGGGAUUGCAGGAGUGCACUACCACAUUGGGCUUCUAUUAUUCCCUUUUAAAAUCAGGACUAAACUUGAAUCUGCCUGAUCUGACAAAAAGCAUUUAGGUUAUUUUACAAGCCAUCCUUGUCCUUGUAAAGUCAGAACUGGUAGUUUCCCAGCAUACAGCUCUCUGGGGUAAGCCCCUCCCCCUGCAACAUAUAUUCAUACAAACCCACACACGCACAAGUGCAACCAUGCACACACACAAAGUAAAGUAGUUCACUUAGAAACAAUAACAAAUUUUAACAAGUCAAAAUCCCUAAAAUCAAAAGCAAGCAAACAAACAAACAAUGUCAAAUCCCUAACCCACCCUCAUUUUCUCAAGAUAUACUCCAGGUUCCUAUCUGUUUCUGGACAGGCAGGAGGGCAAAGUCCCUUUCCCCUUAUCUGCGGCAGGGCGGGGCCCAGGCUGCAUUAAAUUCUAGAAACUUUCACUGCAGAGCAUGGCAGGAUUCCGUCCAGUCUCUGCCAUGAUGAGCUGUGUGAACUUGAUGGACAGGACCUGACCCUCCGAGUUCUGUCAACCAAUGAUAAGCAGACUGCUACUGUAGUACACGGAGCUGUGAGGUGAUUAAGGAAGGGUCCUACACACCCACGCACCAACCACUAGCUCUAUAUAACUCCAUAACUGCUGUAUUCACAAUCGAAUAAAGUGUUCUAGGUGCACAGCAAAGGCUUUAGAGCUAUUAAAGUGGUCUCCAGACUAUCAACAGAUUCACCUGGAAAGAUUUAGGCCCCACUCCCAACCUACAGGUUAAGAAACUUUGGGAGUGAUGCCCAGCACUGUGAACAAGCCCUCCGAGCUCUGAUGCCUGCUCAGUUUGAGAAUUAAAAAUUACAAACUACACUGUAACAGCUAGCCUUUUUUUACUUUGCGUAUGAAGUUUCAUUGGAACAGAACUACACUCAUUCAUUUAUACAUUAUCUGUGGCGACCUUCAUUCUAUCUGACAGAAAAUAGGGUCUGAAUGUGUGAAUUUUUAAAUUAAUCUUUUGCAAUACUGGGACUUGAAUCAAGGGCCUUUGCACUGAGCUACAUCCCAAGCCCUUUUUGAAUUGUGAGACAUGUUAAGACAUUGAGAUAAUUUGCUAAAUCACUAUAUUACCCAAGCUGGGCUCAAACUUGACACCUUCCUUUCUCAGCCUCCUAGAGUGUCACCAUGCUGGGCUUGAAACUUUUACUGUCACAUAAUAUAAAAGGUUUGCUGCACCACCUCCGGAUCUCUCCUUUGUGACUCUGCUGCCAGAGACUCUUGCAACAGCUCCCUUCCUGCCUGCCCAGAAUUGCUCUAAGAAUUAAACCAGUUAACAUAUUUGUUACUCUGCAACUAAAUCUGGAUUUACCAAGAAUCUUGGGCCUGGGAUUUAGCUCAGUGGCACAGAGUCUGCCUGACAAGCAUGAGGUCCUGAGUUCAAUUCCUGGCACCCAGUAAAUUAGAUAAAUAAGUACAUAAAUAAAAUGAAGGAGUGUCUUAGUUACUUUCUCACUGCUGGGCCACAAUACCUUACCCUAAAGUUAAGAAGGAAAAGGUUAUUUAGCGCACAGUGUGCAGAGGUUUCGGCUUAUGGUGGCUCCCCGGCAGGGUGGCACUGCAGAGGAGAAGCAGUUCAUGGUGGGCAGAAGGCAACCAAGCAAGCAAGGGAAUCAACAAGUGACCUUAGCAGCUUCUUUCUGCCCCUUUUUAUAUUCUGCUGAGGCCACUGAGAUGAGGGAAGUGCCAAACCAAUCAGUGGCCUGAUUUAGUAAUCACUCACCCUUAAUCCUAGCAUGGCACCAUGAAAUCAAUCACACACUCUUGAUCCAACCACCUCUGCAAAAGCCCCAUUUCUGACUGCAUGAGGCUUUGGGGUGACAUCUAAACACAAGCCAUAACAAGGAGGAACACAAGGAGACCGAGGGACAUAAUAGUUGAAAUCUGCAUUGGUUUCCCACUGAGAUACAAAAGCAUCUUUCAGGACACUGGUUUUUACCACCAAAAAUGGCUGCUGCCAGACAGGCACUAUAGGGCACAGGUCAUGUGUGGGUCUCAGAAACUGCUUUAAUAUGCUUUUUCUUUCCUAUUGCAACUAUUGUCUUAGUAAGACCUUGCCUUGAAAACAGUUCCAUCUUGCACUUUUUAAAAAAAUGUCUAAUGAAUGUAUUAACUGCUUUAACCAUAGGGUUAAUUCUGAAACAUGAAGACACUGGCCCAAAAAAGUGAAGUGACUUCCCCAAAUCAGCAGCUAGUCAACAUUAAAAUAGCAUCAUAAACUGGAUGUGGUAGUGCUCAUCUCUAAUCCCAGCACUCAGGAGGCUAAGCAGGAGGAUUGCCAUGAGUUUGAGGCCAGCCUGAACUACAUAGCAAGACCUUGUCUCCAAACAACAACACAGCAUCUGAAUCUCUAGGUCAGUAUAAGACAUAUGUAAAAACUGAAAACAAAAUGGGUGAUGUAGUCCCAAGAAAAGGUAACCCUAUACAUUGCUUGUAGUUUCAGAGGUAUGACGCUCCAUGUCUCAUCUUUAGUGAGAUUCAAUAAGAGGGACAGACUGGGUGUCCAGUCCUUUAUUGUAUGUGUGUGUGUGGUAAGAACUGAAUCUUGGGUCCUCAUAUUGAGCCACAUUGCUGGCCCUCCAACCCACCACCUUUUCUUUUGAGUCAGAAUCUUGCUACAUUGCGUGCCAUGCCCACUGGUGUCUAGUUUUUUGAGAAGACAGGGCUCUACUGUUUUUUUUUAAUUGAUGAUUUAUGAUUGUGUAAAUUCACAGAGUACAAAAUGAUGUAAUUUAUGAAUACAAUGUAGAAUAAAUCAAUUUGAGACAAUCAUUGUCUCAAAUACUUAACAUUUGUUCAUAGAUAUCUGAAAUUUAUUCCUUGUAGUUUUGAAGUGUACAAUACUUGUUAACUAUAUAUACCAUGCAACAGAACUUAACAACUAUCUCUGGAGUCAUUGUGCUUAUCCCAGUUGCUCUUGUUGCUGCCCAAGUCUUCUGGUGUGUUCUGCCUUCCAGAGUGGUGUUCCUGUGAGGACAGUCAGUGCCACAGCAGGCCACUCGGGAGGCCCAUGCCCCUUUGAAAAGGAUCAGACCAGUAUCCUGUGUUUGUCCACUCUCUGGUAUUCCUAUUGUGUUCUUCCUGAAACCUGGUUAUCUGGGGCAGAGGCCUUUAGAACAGCAUCAGACUCUGGGUGAAUUUGACAGAAGUCUUCAAACCUGAAGAUCCAACUGCCUGUUCUUGUCUAAACCUACAAAGGCAGCAGAAGCUAAUGACCACACAACAAAAGCUGCAGCACACAAUAUGAGGCAAUAGGAAACCGGAAAGAGAUGAGGGAAAAUCAAUCAUUUAUUUAAAUGAAACUAAAGGAAGAAAUGGAGUGUGGAGAAAGCCUUAACAACUCAGUUCUUAGCAAGGCAUAAUGGUGCCCACUCAUAAUUCCAGCACUCUGGGAGGCUGACACAGAAUCACAAGUGAGAGCCCAACCUGGGCAAUUCAAUGAGAUUCUGUCUCAAAAUGGAGACAGUUGGGGCCUGGGAUUUAGCUUAGUAGUGUAAGCACCUGCUUGGCAAGUGUGAGGUCAUGAGUUUGAUCCCUGGUACAAAAAAUUUUUUUUGAGACAAAUUUUUCUUUCUUUUUCCUUUUUAGCGAUACCGGGGAUCGAACUCAUGACUGCCUUUCAAGGCAGGCGCUUAUGCCGCUGAGCUAAACCCCCAACCCCUGACAAAUUUUUUUUUAAAGGCUGUAGAUGUAGCUCAGUGUAAAGUUCCUGGGUUCAAUAUUCUGUACCACAAACACAAAUUUUAAAAACUUCUCAAGUCUUGGGCUGGAGGUGUAACUCAGUGGUAGAGCACUUGCCUACCAUGUAUGAGGCCCUGGUUUCUAUUCCCAGCACUGAAAAAAGCAAAACUAAACCAAACCAACCGUUUACGUAGGGAGCUCAGGGAGCUAACUGGGCAACCUGGGUCUCCCUAUCUGGCAGACCUAGAAGACACUUGAUCUCAAAUAAACGGAUAAACACGUACAGUUCUAUCCAGGCCACAGCCAGUAAAGCAAAUUAAGAUCAGUGGUGCCUUAGAGAUUUUGAAAUGGAGUGUGGUAGGACCGGUAGAAAUCACUGAGUGCCGUGGAGCUGGUGAGCUUAAAACUAGCAGUUUGGGCAAACAGUGCAGGAUCUGGAGCCAUAGUUUCUUGCAGAAUUCUCACUUGGCUGCCACCUGCAGUGUGCCUGGGGAUUUCCUGUCUCCUGCUGCUUCCUUUUCCUCCUGCAUGAAGAGGGUCUCCCUCACGGGUGUGAGGAUUGAAUGUGAUUAAAAUAAACAUGCUCUCCAGGACCCGU